This is a long non-coding RNA of Xiphophorus hellerii (green swordtail), 1689 nucleotides long. RefSeq lists it as uncharacterized. The transcript has 2 exons. Lineage: Eukaryota; Metazoa; Chordata; Actinopteri; Cyprinodontiformes; Poeciliidae. The record is from RefSeq and is a predicted model, not a curated record.
CCUUUCACAAAGAGAGCACUCUUAAGAUAGUGACGGUCUGUCACAUAAAAUCCCAAGAUGGCUCAAGAUGUAGUUUUUAGGGUUCAUGUAAAGCUUUCAGCCCGGAUAACACAUUUAAAUGUUGAACCAGAGACAUCUUCCAAAAUAAGGCAGCCUAACCAAAACCUGUCUUUAUAAAAGAUAGACUGUAUAACACAUUCUUGGUUGCAGGUGUUCAGCACGUGAAUGUCUUAUGGUAACGCGCCUUCCACGGUGUCAUACUAUUUAAAUUUUCCUCUCUAAGGGUUUUUUCUAUUGCUUCAUAUUGAUAGUGUAAAUGACUUGUAAAGUGGCUUCUAACUUUAUGUUUGGGAUUUACCUCCUGAUGUUUUCUGAGUUGCCUUCCUCAUAAUCUAUUUGCCUUUUCUCAUAUUUGCAAUAAUCUUGUUAAAAGUGUCAAAGUUUUUCUCAACCAGCCAAUCAAUACGCUGUUCAUUUCUUUUUUGAUGAUUUGUAUUUCAGUAAGUACCUCAGCAUGACAGUAAGAAGUUGAUAUCUUGCCGUUCUCCGUGGCUUGACCUCAUGGCCCCUAAUCUUGACAGCUUGCCCCAUUAAAUCUUCUCUAUUGUAUCAGCAUUUUCAUUCCUGACUCACAAAAUGGUCACUGUGGUUUCUUGCUGUGGUUGUUUUUUUUUCUUUGCACUUAAUGAACAACUCAAGGUUUGCGAACAAGCAGCAAGCUUCCGUCCUAAAGGUAAGGGUUUAUGGCAGGGAUUAGCUUAACUACAGCUGGAAUUGGUUCAGCCAUUGUUCCAUGCAGAACAUCUUCAUUCUCACAUUGCUCAGUUUUUUCACAAAAAGUAUUUUUAUGAAAUAUGUUAUAAAUUUACAACUCAUACACCCAACACAACUUUAGGUAUUACGUUAGCAUACUAAAUGUUUGGCUCCAAAACAAAUAUUUUGUAAGCAAACUAAACAUUUAACUUGAAGCAAAAAUAUUUAAUUGGCUAGAAAACUAACUAUUUAAUUAGUAAGUUUGUAAACAGUUAGCUAGCUCAGACCUAACUGAAUAUUUAGCUAGGCCAGAGUGAAAUAUAAGUCUUGCUGUUUGUAGCUGCCUUCAACCAGCCUGAUGUCAAUGCACAACAAGAUUCCCUAUAAGAAGAGUUCAACCCCAGAGCUGAACUUUUAAGGUGCAGUCAGGGAUAAUUUGAACACUGGGUUGUGUAUAUAUCAAAACAACUCCAGGGUGACGUAAGCAUUUUUUUUUUUUUUUUAAAUCCUCAACUAUCAAGGCUGACUGAUUCAAAAACAUCUGUCAUUUUCAGGUGGUUCUAUUGUUGUAUAAUUUAUCCAGGAUUUGGCUUUAUCAGAUUAUUUUUAAUUCCCUGAAAAUAAUUAAAAUAGAGCUUCUGAGAGUUCUAUACUAGCAACUCUUUCCAGGUCUAAGACCUAAUAAAUCAAAGAAACGAAAAAAAUAUAUAUUUAUUUUUUUCACUGCUGAAUAAAGUAAAUAUAUAUAUUUUUUGUUUGUUUCUCUUGAUCGAGGCGUGCUGAACUGUGCCUUUAAAUCCAAGGCACCUGCUUUUAAACUCUCCUGGAUUCUGUUUUGUUUUUGUUGGGGAAGGACACCACCAUUUCUCAGAAGAUGUCAUACGUCUGAAACAAACUCCACCUCAAAGCAGAGGUCACCAGUUUGAGUCAAACCCC